RNAcentral lists this ribosomal RNA (345 nucleotides) under uncultured bacterium. RNAcentral describes it as "bacterial SSU rRNA". It matches the Rfam family "Bacterial small subunit ribosomal RNA", at positions 8 to 348 of the family's 1533-position model. The record is from RNAcentral.
AGAGUUUGAUCAUGGCUCAGGAUGAACGCUAGCUACAGGCUUAACACAUGCAAGUCGAGGGGCAGCAUGUUGGUUGCUUGCAACCAAUGAUGGCGACCGGCGCACGGGUGAGUAACGCGUAUCCAACCUACCCUUGUCCAUCGGAUAACCCGUCGAAAGGCGGCCUAACACGAUAUGCGGUUCUCAGCAGGCAUCUAACGAGAACGAAAUGUGAAGGAGAAGGAUGGGGAUGCGUCUGAUUAGCUUGUUGGCGGGUAACGGCCACCAAGGCGACGAUCAGUAGGGGUUCCGAGAGGAAGGUCCCCCACAUUGGAACUGAGGCACGGUCCAAACUCCUACGGGAGC